UCGUCGGUGCGCUGCGGGUCGUGAGCGGAUCGCUGUCGAUCGGCGAGGUGCAGGCGUUCAUCCUGUACUCCGGCGGGUUCAGCCGGCCGAUCGUCGAG
Molecule: transfer RNA, 98 nt
Filed under: Streptomyces netropsis
Lineage: Bacteria; Bacillati; Actinomycetota; Actinomycetes; Kitasatosporales; Streptomycetaceae
Description: tRNA-Ser
Source: RNAcentral